GAUGAACGCUGGCGGCGUGCCUAAUACAUGCAAGUCGAACGCAUCCCGUUAAAUGAAGUGCUUGCACGGAUUUUAACAUUGGAUGAGUGGCGAACUGGUGAGUAACACGUGGGUAACCUGCCCAGAAGCAGGGGAUAACACUUGGAAACAGGUGCUAAUACCGUAUAACAACAAAAACCGCAUGGCUUUUUCUGUAAGGUAGGUUUCGGGUCGUACUACACUUCUUGGUAGUGGACCCGGCCGGCGG
This 247-nucleotide ribosomal RNA is filed under the name uncultured bacterium. Its description in RNAcentral is "partial 16S ribosomal RNA". It matches the Rfam family "Bacterial small subunit ribosomal RNA", at positions 28 to 239 of the family's 1533-position model. The record is from RNAcentral.